AGGACGAACGCUGGCGGCGUGCUUAACACAUGCAAGUCGAGCGGAAAGGCCUUUCGGGGUACUCGAGCGGCGAACGGGUGAGUAACACGUGAGUAAUCUGCCCAUCGCUUCAGGAUAGCCAUCGGAAACGGUGAUUAAUACUGGAUAUGACAUUCCUUCGCAUGUUGGGGUGUGGUAAAGUUUUUCGGCGGUGGAUGUGCUCGCGGCCUAUCAGCUU
RNAcentral lists this ribosomal RNA (217 nucleotides) under uncultured soil bacterium. RNAcentral's name for it is "partial 16S ribosomal RNA". It matches the Rfam family "Bacterial small subunit ribosomal RNA", at positions 26 to 247 of the family's 1533-position model. The record is from RNAcentral.